GGUCCCGUAGUACAAUGGAUAGUAUAAGAGUUUCCGAAGCUCCAGAUUCAAGUUCGAUUCUUGACGGGACUA
Molecule: transfer RNA, 72 nt
Filed under: Lacibacter sediminis
Lineage: Bacteria; Pseudomonadati; Bacteroidota; Chitinophagia; Chitinophagales; Chitinophagaceae
Description: Lacibacter sp. S13-6-6 tRNA-Arg
Rfam family: tRNA
About the family: Transfer RNA (tRNA) molecules are approximately 80 nucleotides in length. Their secondary structure includes four short double-helical elements and three loops (D, anti-codon, and T loops).
Source: RNAcentral